UUUUUUUUUUUUUGUUUUUUUUUUUUUUGGUUCUUUUUUUCGGAGCUGGGGACCGAACCCAGGGCCUUGCGCUUCCUAGGUAAGCGCUCUACCACUGAGCUAAAUCCCCAGCCCCUAUCAACAAUUAUUUUAAUCCUGUGGAUCAGCCUCCCUGAAAGACUAAUUCGUACGUGUAUGGUCAACUGGUACGAAUGGCAUAUGCACAGUGGAGGUCAUAGGUCAGAAGGAGCACAGGAUCCCCCUGAACCGGAGCUGCAGACGUUGAGAGCUGCUAUGUAGGUGCUGAGAACCGAAGCCUGGUCCCUGGAAGAACAGUGAGCUCAGCAGGGGCGCCAGCUCCUGAGUCAGCUCUGUAUAGCCACUCUGUUUAUCUGCACUUCUCAUCCCUGGAGAAAGACCCACGCGCCUGACAGCUGUAGUUGUGCCUUUGGGACGAUGAGUUUGGUUUGCUGCCGUCUCAUGUACACAUCACAUCUUUUGCUCAUAUUCAGACCCCUCCAUUAACUGUCAAGUUGGUUUUCUUUUUGUUUGUAUUUCCCAGUUUCUAAGUAUAUUUUGCACUUGAGAGUGUGUGCAUGUCGUGGCUGAGCCAUCUUGCUGUCCCAGCUGCAAAACUUUUGAAUAGUGUGAAGGGCCCUCCCCCCUGAGCGGAGGUAGGGCAAGCUUGUGUCUAGUGUCCAACCUCCUGUUCCCGCCUUGCUCAGUUCCUCACGCCCUCCGUUGAGAAGUCACGCAGCCUCUUGGGCAGCACUAAUUUCAGUCUUUUCCUUGCAGAGAUGCUGAGGAUGCCAUCUAUGGAAGAAACGGUUAUGACUACGGCCAGUGUCGACUCCGGGUGGAAUUCCCCAGGGCUUACGGAGGUCGGGGAGGGUGGCCCCGAGC
Molecule: long non-coding RNA, 882 nt
Filed under: Rattus norvegicus (Norway rat)
Lineage: Eukaryota; Metazoa; Chordata; Mammalia; Rodentia; Muridae
Description: long non-coding RNA NONRATT008056
Source: RNAcentral